AAGUCGUAACAAGGUUUCCGUAGGUGAACCUGCGGAAGGAUCAUUACUGAGUUAGGGUCUCCUGGCCCGACCUCCAACCCUGUGUCUACCUACCACGUUGCUUCGGCGGGCCUGUCGACAGGAUCUGUCGGCUGCCGGCGGGCCUCAAAACCCCGCUGGACCGUGCCCGUCGAUGGCCAACCUCCUAAAACUCUUGAAGAACCAUGUCGUCUGAGUACCAAACUAAAUAAAGUAAAAACUUUCAACAACGGAUCUCUUGGUUCUG
Molecule: unclassified non-coding RNA, 265 nt
Filed under: fungal sp.
Lineage: Eukaryota; Fungi
Description: partial internal transcribed spacer region
Rfam family: Eukaryotic small subunit ribosomal RNA (bases 1-46)
Source: RNAcentral